UGGCAGGACCUUUCUGCACAGAGGAGCUGGUAUCUGCAGAGUUGGAGGAGAUACCAAACCAGGCUUGGAAGGAAAAGGAGGCUGACCUGGCUGCAAAGAGGAAGGGAUGCGGGAGGGUAUUCUGGGCAGAUGCUGGAGAAGCUGGAGAGUGCAGCAGCUGCCCCGAGCCCCGUGCUUGGCAACAUUCCCCCCAACGAUGGGAUGCCGGGAGGCCCCAUCCCGCCAGGUUUCUUUCAGCCUUUUAUGUCACCGCGAUACGCAGGCGGCCCCAGGCCCCCGAUCAGAAUGGGAAACCAGCCUCCGGGAGGAGUUCCUGGGACACAGCCAUUGCUGCCCAAUUCUAUGGAUCCCACACGACAACAAGGCCACCCCAACAUGGGAGGAUCAAUGCAGAGAAUGAACCCUCCCCGAGGCAUGGGGCCCAUGGGUCCCGGCCCACAGAAUUACGGCAGCGGCAUGAGACCACCACCCAACUCCCUCGGCCCCGCCAUGCCCGGGAUUAACAUGUAAGGCAAAAACGACCCGGCCCGUGGCUCAGAGUCCAGGUCUUCC
Molecule: small RNA, 552 nt
Filed under: Pan troglodytes (chimpanzee)
Lineage: Eukaryota; Metazoa; Chordata; Mammalia; Primates; Hominidae
Description: retained intron
Source: RNAcentral